CGAGCGGAACGAGUUAUCUGAACCUUCGGGGGACGAUAACGGCGUCGAGCGGCGGACGGGUGAGUAAUGCCUAGGAAAUUGCCCUGAUGUGGGGGAUAACCAUUGGAAACGAUGGCUAAUACCGCAUAAUGCCUACGGGCCAAAGAGGGGGACCUUCGGGCCUCUCGCGUCAGGAUAUGCCUAGGUGGGAUUAGCUAGUUGGUGAGGUAAUGGCUCACCAAGGCGACGAUCCCUAGCUGGUCUGAGAGGAUGAUCAGCCACACUGGAACUGAGACACGGUCCAGACUCCUACGGGAGGCAGCAGUGGGGAAUAUUGCACAAUGGGCGCAAGCCUGAUGCAGCCAUGCCGCGUGUGUGAAGAAGGCCUUCGGGUUGUAAAGCACUUUCAGUCGUGAGGAAGGUAGUGUAGUUAAUAGCUGCAUUAUUUGACGUUAGCGACAGAAGAAGCACCGGCUAACUCCGUGCCAGCAGCCGCGGUAAUACGGAGGGUGCGAGCGUUAAUCGGAAUUACUGGGCGUAAAGCGCAUGCAGGUGGUUUGUUAAGUCAGAUGUGAAAGCCCGGGGCUCAACCUCGGAAUUGCAUUUGAAACUGGCAGACUAGAGUACUGUAGAGGGGGGUAGAAUUUCAGGUGUAGCGGUGAAAUGCGUAGAGAUCUGAAGGAAUACCGGUGGCGAAGGCGGCCCCCUGGACAGAUACUGACACUCAGAUGCGAAAGCGUGGGGAGCAAACAGGAUUAGAUACCCUGGUAGUCCACGCCGUAAACGAUGUCUACUUGGAGGUUGUGGCCUUGAGCCGUGGCUUUCGGAGCUAACGCGUUAAGUAGACCGCCUGGGGAGUACGGUCGCAAGA
RNAcentral lists this ribosomal RNA (850 nucleotides) under Vibrio sp. 2.3.052HS2. Its description in RNAcentral is "bacterial SSU rRNA". It matches the Rfam family "Bacterial small subunit ribosomal RNA", at positions 63 to 893 of the family's 1533-position model. Lineage: Bacteria; Pseudomonadati; Pseudomonadota; Gammaproteobacteria; Vibrionales; Vibrionaceae. The record is from RNAcentral.